This 350-nucleotide ribosomal RNA is filed under the name uncultured eukaryote. RNAcentral's name for it is "SSU rRNA". It matches the Rfam family "Eukaryotic small subunit ribosomal RNA", at positions 567 to 914 of the family's 1831-position model. The record is from RNAcentral.
CCAGCAGCUGCGGUAAUUCCAGCUCUUCUAGCGUAUAUCGAAGUUGAUGCAGUUAAAACGCUCGUAGUCGGAGCAGUUCAGCUGAAGGAGAAAAUGCUGAUGUUGUCGAAAGAUGACAUUGGAACUUCACUGAUUCAUUGGAUUGUGCAUGUGCAUGGGUUCGCCUGUGAUUACUGCCCUUCCACAUUUACUUUGAGGAAAUCAGAGUGUUCAUAGCAGUCGAUUGACUGAAUAUUUUAGCAUGGGAUAAUAGAAGAUGGCAAGCUGCCUUUUCUAUGGUUCUUGAUGGCAUUAUUUGCAAUGAUCAAUGGGAGUGGAUGGGGCUGCCAGUAUUACGGAGCUAGAGGUGA